This 492-nucleotide ribosomal RNA is filed under the name uncultured bacterium. RNAcentral describes it as "partial 16S ribosomal RNA". It matches the Rfam family "Bacterial small subunit ribosomal RNA", at positions 29 to 507 of the family's 1533-position model. The record is from RNAcentral.
AGUGAACGCUGGCGGUAGGCCUAACACAUGCAAGUCGAACGGCAGCACAGUAAGAGCUUGCUCUUACGGGUGGCGAGUGGCGGACGGGUGAGGAAUACAUCGGAAUCUACUUUUUCGUGGGGGAUAACGUAGGGAAACUUACGCUAAUACCGCAUACGACCUACGGGUGAAAGCAGGGGAUCUUCGGACCUUGCGCGAUUGAAUGAGCCGAUGUCGGAUUAGCUAGUUGGCGGGGUAAAGGCCCACCAAGGCGACGAUCCGUAGCUGGUCUGAGAGGAUGAUCAGCCCCCCUGGAACUGAGACACGGUCCAGACUCCUACGGGAGGCACCAGUGGGGAAUAUUGGACAAUGGGCGCAAGCCUGAUCCAGCCAUACCGCGUGGGUGAAGAAGGCCUUCGGGUUGUAAAGCCCUUUUGUUGGGAAAGAAAAGCAGCAGGUUAAUACCCCGCUGUUCUGACGGUACCCAAAGAAUAAGCACCGGCUAACUUCGUG